RNAcentral lists this ribosomal RNA (229 nucleotides) under uncultured bacterium. RNAcentral describes it as "partial 16S ribosomal RNA". It matches the Rfam family "Bacterial small subunit ribosomal RNA", at positions 568 to 796 of the family's 1533-position model. The record is from RNAcentral.
CGUGUAGGUGGAUAAUUAAGUCAGAGGUGAAAUCCUGCAGCUCAACUGUAGAAUUGCCUUUGAUACUGGUUAUCUUGAGUCAUUAUGAAGUGGUUAGAAUGUGUAGUGUAGCGGUGAAAUGCAUAGAUAUUACACAGAAUACCGAUUGCGAAGGCAGAUCACUAAUAAUGUACUGACACUGAGGGACGAAAGCGUGGGGAGCGAACAGGAUUAGAUACCCUGGUAGUCC